Molecule: long non-coding RNA, 1170 nt
Filed under: Homo sapiens (human)
Lineage: Eukaryota; Metazoa; Chordata; Mammalia; Primates; Hominidae
Description: long independently transcribed non-coding RNA 3007, transcript variant 6 (LINC03007)
Source: RNAcentral
ACAGAGCUACAAGCUACAUGUCCCUGGCCCCUCUCCCUAGGAGCACAGAGUUCCAGUGAAGAACCUAAAGCACAAACACUGACAGCUGUAAGAUGAGGAAACAGAAGCUGGGAUAUGUGAGUAAACAUUUCCAAGGUCCUGCAGCUAAUCAAUGGUUGACAACUUCUUUCCUCUGCCUAUGUUGCCAUCCAUGUCAUGGUUUGUGUCAAGACUCUAGGAGAAGUCUACCAUCAGCACCACAGCUACUGUGCACAAAUCCAGAAUGCCAGACUGAAGUCAGAAGGAAAGGACCUGGCUUUUAAAAAUGGUGAAGGGAAAUGUUCUUAUCACCCAUUCCUGUCAGAGAUGAUGCAGCUCAUUGCUGAUGCUGAGAUCCAACGUCCAGUGCCUGAGUACCCCUGGAUUCUGAGCACUAGGGGCUGGACUGUGGAGACCAUCAGUUCAUAACAUCCUGUCCCUGCUCCCUGCUGUAGAUGACUGAGACCAGAAAGAAGAUUGGAAAAAUCUCCCAUGACCAAGGAAAAUUGUGAAAAAUAUUUCUGAUAUUUUGUCUAUGCAUUUUAUUUUUGAGGGUGUUUUUUAUAUUAGUGUGACUAUUUUGUAUUUCCUACCCUGUUGUAAACUUUUUAAAAAUUGCUCUUACAGUUAUUACUAAGUAUAUGAUUUAAAAUCCCUAAUUAGGGUUCUUAAACAAGGGAGAAGCACUCUCAUACCCCUAGAACAAGAUGAACAAAAGAAGGAGGAAAAAUCUUGACCUCCGUAAGAUCCAGGAUGGCACGUGCAAGGCACUGACACAGCAUCUGCCGGCAUCACUGACUCUCCUGGACCCCAGAAGCCCAGUUCCCCAGGCUCUGAAACCCUGCAGCAAUGAAAAGGAAGCACAGGCAAACCAUAAGGAAGAUAAUUUUUCUACUAAAAAAUAAAUAGAAAUGCAUCCUUAGAGGCAGGUUUCAUGAGGACACAGAGAAUCCGGUUUUGUGUGUGCCUGAUUUCGUUUUUCUGUCAAAGAGAUACAAAACAAUCAACUGAGUUAUCUUGAACUUACAAAGAUUAAAAAUAAUCAAUUCCUGUUACUAUUUUCAAUUUUUCCCCCAUUUUACUUCUUUAGGUAUGAAGAAAUGUAGCCUAUUAAAACCUGGAUUAAUAAAAACCUUUCAUUAACUUUUAGAA